GUAAACAUAGUUUAAACAAAACACUAGAUUGUGAAUCUAGAAAUAGAAGAUAAACCCUUCUUGUCUACC
RNAcentral lists this transfer RNA (69 nucleotides) under Tupaia glis (common tree shrew). RNAcentral describes it as "tRNA-His". It matches the Rfam family "tRNA". Rfam says of the family: Transfer RNA (tRNA) molecules are approximately 80 nucleotides in length. The record is from RNAcentral. Lineage: Eukaryota; Metazoa; Chordata; Mammalia; Scandentia; Tupaiidae.